Molecule: unclassified non-coding RNA, 392 nt
Filed under: soil metagenome
Description: partial contains 5.8S ribosomal RNA, internal transcribed spacer 2, and large subunit ribosomal RNA
Rfam family: 5.8S ribosomal RNA (bases 1-122)
Source: RNAcentral
GAUGAAGAACGUAGCGAAAUGCGAUACUUGGUGUGAAUUGCAGAAUCCCGUGAACCAUCGAGUCUUUGAACGCAAGUUGCGCCCGAAGCCAUUAGGCCGAGGGCACGCCUGCCUGGGCGUCACACGUCGUUGCCCCCCCAUCUACUCCUUCGGGAUUGCGGGGGGCGGAUGAUGGCCUCCCGUGCGCCUCGUCGCGCGGUUGGCAUAAAUGCCAAGUCCUCGGCGACGCACGCCACGACAAUCGGUGGUUGCGAAUCCUCGGUUGCCCGUCGUGUGCGGUCGUCGCGCAUCGAGGGCUCGAAAAAAUUGCCGGGCUCCGGCUCGGCUUUCAACGCGACCCCAGGUCAGGCGGGGUUACCCGCUGAAUUUAAGCAUAUCAAUAAGCGGAAGGA